GGAGACGUGGCCGAGUGGUUUAAGGCGCACGCCUGGAAAGUGUGUUGAGGUGGAAGCCUCUCGAGGGUUCGAAUCCCUCCGUCUCUGCCA
RNAcentral lists this transfer RNA (90 nucleotides) under Magnetococcales bacterium. Its description in RNAcentral is "tRNA-Ser". It matches the Rfam family "tRNA". Rfam says of the family: Transfer RNA (tRNA) molecules are approximately 80 nucleotides in length. The record is from RNAcentral. Lineage: Bacteria; Pseudomonadati; Pseudomonadota; Magnetococcia; Magnetococcales.